RNAcentral lists this ribosomal RNA (1089 nucleotides) under Fusarium sp. RNAcentral's name for it is "eukaryotic LSU rRNA". The stretch from base 496 to 1089 matches the Rfam family "Eukaryotic large subunit ribosomal RNA", at positions 1 to 606 of the family's 3401-position model. The record is from RNAcentral. Lineage: Eukaryota; Fungi; Ascomycota; Sordariomycetes; Hypocreales; Nectriaceae.
UGACCAGCGGAGGGAUCAUUACCGAGUUUACAACUCCCAAACCCCUGUGAACAUACCUUAAUGUUGCCUCGGCGGAUCAGCCCGCGCCCCGUAAAACGGGACGGCCCGCCAGAGGACCCAAACUCUAAUGUUUCUUAUUGUAACUUCUGAGUAAAACAAACAAAUAAAUCAAAACUUUCAACAACGGAUCUCUUGGUUCUGGCAUCGAUGAAGAACGCAGCAAAAUGCGAUAAGUAAUGUGAAUUGCAGAAUUCAGUGAAUCAUCGAAUCUUUGAACGCACAUUGCGCCCGCUGGUAUUCCGGCGGGCAUGCCUGUUCGAGCGUCAUUUCAACCCUCAAGCCCCCGGGUUUGGUGUUGGGGAUCGGCUCUGCCUUCUGGCGGUGCCGCCCCCGAAAUACAUUGGCGGUCUCGCUGCAGCCUCCAUUGCGUAGUAGCUAACACCUCGCAACUGGAACGCGGCGCGGCCAUGCCGUAAAACCCCAACUUCUGAAUGUUGACCUCGGAUCAGGUAGGAAUACCCGCUGAACUUAAGCAUAUCAAUAAGCGGAGGAAAAGAAACCAACAGGGAUUGCCCUAGUAACGGCGAGUGAAGCGGCAACAGCUCAAAUUUGAAAUCUGGCUUUCGGGCCCGAGUUGUAAUUUGUAGAGGAUACUUUUGAUGCGGUGCCUUCCGAGUUCCCUGGAACGGGACGCCAUAGAGGGUGAGAGCCCCGUCUGGUUGGAUGCCAAAUCUCUGUAAAGUUCCUUCGACGAGUCGAGUAGUUUGGGAAUGCUGCUCUAAAUGGGAGGUAUAUGUCUUCUAAAGCUAAAUAUUGGCCAGAGACCGAUAGCGCACAAGUAGAGUGAUCGAAAGAUGAAAAGCACUUUGAAAAGAGAGUUAAAAAGUACGUGAAAUUGUUGAAAGGGAAGCGUUUAUGACCAGACUUGGACUUGGUUAAUCAUCUGGGGUUCUCCCCAGUGCACUUUUCCAGUUCAGGCCAGCAUCAGUUUUCGCCGGGGGAUAAAGGCAGUGGGAAUGUAGCUCUCUUCGGGGAGUGUUAUAGCCCAUUGUGUAAUACCCUGGUGGAGACUGAGGUUCGCGCUUCUGC